This 253-nucleotide ribosomal RNA is filed under the name uncultured bacterium. Its description in RNAcentral is "partial 16S ribosomal RNA". It matches the Rfam family "Bacterial small subunit ribosomal RNA", at positions 524 to 776 of the family's 1533-position model. The record is from RNAcentral.
UACAGAGAGUGCAAACGUUGUUCGGAAUUACUGGGCUUAAAGCGCACGUAGGCGGCAUCGCAAGUGUGAGGUGAAAUCCCACGGCUUACCCGUGGAACUGCCUGGCAGACUGCGAUGCUCGAGUGUGGUAGGGGAGAGCGGAACUCCUGGUGGAGCGGUGAAAUGCGUAGAUAUCAGGAGGAACACCGGUGGCGAAGGCGGCUCUCUGGUCCACAACUGACGCUGAGGUGCGAAAGCUAGGGGAGCAAACGGG